GACCCUGUAACUCAGUUGGUUAGAGUGUGGAGCUAAUACUUCGGUAUAGUACACUCCAAAGUCGUCAGUUCGAGCCUGGCCAGGGUCA
Transfer RNA from Malassezia globosa CBS 7966, 88 nucleotides. It matches the Rfam family "tRNA". Rfam says of the family: Transfer RNA (tRNA) molecules are approximately 80 nucleotides in length. Their secondary structure includes four short double-helical elements and three loops (D, anti-codon, and T loops). NCBI's taxonomy places the organism in Eukaryota, Fungi, Basidiomycota, Malasseziomycetes, Malasseziales, Malasseziaceae. The record is from Rfam.